RNAcentral lists this ribosomal RNA (347 nucleotides) under uncultured Glomeraceae. RNAcentral describes it as "SSU rRNA". It matches the Rfam family "Eukaryotic small subunit ribosomal RNA", at positions 569 to 920 of the family's 1831-position model. The record is from RNAcentral. Lineage: Eukaryota; Fungi; Glomeromycota; Glomeromycetes; Glomerales; Glomeraceae.
AGCAGCCGCGGUAAUUCCAGCUCCAAUAGCGUAUAUUAAAGUUGUUGCAGUUAAAAAGCUCGUAGUUGAAUUUCGGGAUCAUCAGGUUGGUCGUGCCUCUGGUAUGUACUGAUUUCGAUGGUUCCUCCUUCUUGAAGAACCGUAAUGCCAUUAAUUUGGUGUUGCGGGGAAACAGGACUGUUACUUUGAAAAAAUUAGAGUGUUUAAAGCAGGCAAUCGCUUGAAUACAUUAGCAUGGAAUAAUGAAAUAGGACGUUCGAUCCUAUUUUGUUGGUUUCUAGGAUUGACGUAAUGAUUAAUAGGGAUAGUUGGGGGCAUUAGUAUUCAAUUGUCAGAGGUGAAAUUCG